RNAcentral lists this long non-coding RNA (377 nucleotides) under Homo sapiens (human). Its description in RNAcentral is "non-protein coding lnc-GDAP2-1:3". Lineage: Eukaryota; Metazoa; Chordata; Mammalia; Primates; Hominidae. The record is from RNAcentral.
GGGGUGCUCAGGGAGGCAGCACUGCGCAAGCGCAAUAGAGGGGGCUGCGUCGACACCCACUUAACUUCGGAGUUAGUGGGACACCUUUCUUUUUGCUUAGUGCUGGGGGAAAAGAUUACUUCCCAGAUGCAGUAUUUACAUCUCCUCCGCCCUACUCUUCCAACCCUGCCUGAAAUAAGUGUGGUUCUCCUGUCUGUCAGACUAUGAAGAGUUCUCAAAUAUGUCUUUCCCAGCGAGGGAGAGGAGAAAACUUCAGCCUCCACGAUCGAUGUUUCUCAAGUGUCAAGGAAAAUGGAGCCUAGGAGGGCAGCCCCACAAGCAGCGUGAUGGGCAUUUAAGCCGACGCAUGUGCCAGGUCCUAGAACAGAGUAACUUCC